This 433-nucleotide ribosomal RNA is filed under the name uncultured bacterium. RNAcentral describes it as "partial 16S ribosomal RNA". It matches the Rfam family "Bacterial small subunit ribosomal RNA", at positions 29 to 507 of the family's 1533-position model. The record is from RNAcentral.
AACGAACGCUGGCGGCAUGCCUAACACAUGCAAGUCGAACGACACCUUCGGGACUAGUUGCGCACGGGUGCGUAACGCGUGGGAACCUGGCCGUAUGUUCGGAAUUACUCCCCGAAAGGGGUGCUAACACCGGAAAACGUCCUCGGACCCAAGAUUUAUCGCCUUUGGAUGGGCCCGCGAUGGUUUAGCUUGGUGCUAGGGUAAGAGCCUACCAAGGCGACGAUCCAUAGCUGGUCUGAGAGGAUGAGCCGCCACACUGGGGCUGGGACACGGCCCAGACUCCUACGCGAGGCAGCAGUGGGGAAUACUGGCCUAUGGGCUAAAGCCUGAACCAGCACUGCCGGGUGAGUGAUGAAGGCCUUAGGGUUGUACAGCAGGUUUACCCGGCAUGGUAAUGACAGUACCCGGAGAAUAAGCUCCGGCUAACUCCGUG